AAUAAAGUGUCUGAUUAUAGGUGGAAAACUGUAAAUUUUCUUAUGAGAUUUCUCCUUUAUUA
Molecule: transfer RNA, 62 nt
Filed under: Colpocephalum eucarenum
Lineage: Eukaryota; Metazoa; Arthropoda; Insecta; Psocodea; Menoponidae
Description: tRNA-Tyr
Source: RNAcentral